Molecule: unclassified non-coding RNA, 354 nt
Filed under: soil metagenome
Description: partial contains 5.8S ribosomal RNA, internal transcribed spacer 2, and large subunit ribosomal RNA
Rfam family: 5.8S ribosomal RNA (bases 1-120)
Source: RNAcentral
GAUGAAGAACGUAGCGAAAUGCGAUAAGUAGUGUGAAUUGCAGAAUUCAGUGAAUCAUCGAAUCUUUGAACGCACAUUGCGCCUCCUGGUAUUCCGGGAGGCAUGCCUGUUCGAGCGUCAUUAAAAUCACUCAAGCUUAGGUUUACCUAUUGCUUGGUCUUGGAGAUGGAAGCCAAUUUAUUGGAAUCCUCUUCGAAAUUCAAUGGCGAAGACCCUUGCUCUCCCAAGUGUAGUAAUAACUUAUGUCACUGAAGGAAGCGAGAAAUCUUCUGCCGUAACCCGCAUAUUUUCUAUGAUUGACCUCGGAUCAGGUAGGGAUACCCGCUGAACUUAAGCAUAUCAAUAAGCGGAGGA